RNAcentral lists this ribosomal RNA (2774 nucleotides) under Escherichia albertii. Its description in RNAcentral is "bacterial LSU rRNA". It matches the Rfam family "Bacterial large subunit ribosomal RNA". The record is from RNAcentral. Lineage: Bacteria; Pseudomonadati; Pseudomonadota; Gammaproteobacteria; Enterobacterales; Enterobacteriaceae.
AGCGUACACGGUGGAUGCCCUGGCAGUCAGAGGCGAUGAAGGACGUGCUAAUCUGCGAUAAGCGUCGGUAAGGUGAUAUGAACCGUUAUAACCGGCGAUUUCCGAAUGGGGAAACCCAGUGUGUUUCGACACACUAUCAUUAACUGAAUCCAUAGGUUAAUGAGGCGAACCGGGGGAACUGAAACAUCUAAGUACCCCGAGGAAAAGAAAUCAACCGAGAUUCCCCCAGUAGCGGCGAGCGAACGGGGAGCAGCCCAGAGCCUGAAUCAGUGUGUGUGUUAGUGGAAGUGUCUGGAAAGGCGCGCGAUACAGGGUGACAGCCCCGUACACAAAAAUGCACAUGCUGUGAGCUCGAUGAGUAGGGCGGGACACGUGGUAUCCUGUCUGAAUAUGGGGGGACCAUCCUCCAAGGCUAAAUACUCCUGACUGACCGAUAGUGAACCAGUACCGUGAGGGAAAGGCGAAAAGAACCCCGGCGAGGGGAGUGAAAAAGAACCUGAAACCGUGUACGUACAAGCAGUGGGAGCCCUGAUUUAUCAGGGUGACUGCGUACCUUUUGUAUAAUGGGUCAGCGACUUAUAUUCUGUAGCAAGGUUAACCGAAUAGGGGAGCCGGAGGGAAACCGAGUCUUAACUGGGCGUUAAGUUGCAGGGUAUAGACCCGAAACCCGGUGAUCUAGCCAUGGGCAGGUUGAAGGUUGGGUAACACUAACUGGAGGACCGAACCGACUAAUGUUGAAAAAUUAGCGGAUGACUUGUGGCUGGGGGUGAAAGGCCAAUCAAACCGGGAGAUAGCUGGUUCUCCCCGAAAGCUAUUUAGGUAGCGCCUCGUGAAUUCAUCUCCGGGGGUAGAGCACUGUUUCGGCAAGGGGGUCAUCCCGACUUACCAACCCGAUGCAAACUGCGAAUACCGGAGAAUGUUAUCACGGGAGACACACGGCGGGUGCUAACGUCCGUCGUGAAGAGGGAAACAACCCAGACCGCCAGCUAAGGUCCCAAAGUCAUGGUUAAGUGGGAAACGAUGUGGGAAGGCCCAGACAGCCAGGAUGUUGGCUUAGAAGCAGCCAUCAUUUAAAGAAAGCGUAAUAGCUCACUGGUCGAGUCGGCCUGCGCGGAAGAUGUAACGGGGCUAAACCAUGCACCGAAGCUGCGGCAGCGACACUGUGUGUUGUUGGGUAGGGGAGCGUUCUGUAAGCCUGUGAAGGUGUGCUGUGAGGCAUGCUGGAGGUAUCAGAAGUGCGAAUGCUGACAUAAGUAACGAUAAAGCGGGUGAAAAGCCCGCUCGCCGGAAGACCAAGGGUUCCUGUCCAACGUUAAUCGGGGCAGGGUGAGUCGACCCCUAAGGCGAGGCCGAAAGGCGUAGUCGAUGGGAAACAGGUUAAUAUUCCUGUACUUGGUGUUACUGCGAAGGGGGGACGGAGAAGGCUAUGUUGGCCGGGCGACGGUUGUCCCGGUUUAAGCGUGUAGGCUGGUUUUCCAGGCAAAUCCGGAGAAUCAAGGCUGAGGCGUGAUGACGAGGCACUACGGUGCUGAAGCAACAAAUGCCCUGCUUCCAGGAAAAGCCUCUAAGCAUCAGGUAACAUCAAAUCGUACCCCAAACCGACACAGGUGGUCAGGUAGAGAAUACCAAGGCGCUUGAGAGAACUCGGGUGAAGGAACUAGGCAAAAUGGUGCCGUAACUUCGGGAGAAGGCACGCUGAUAUGUAGGUGAAGCGACUUGCUCGUGGAGCUGAAAUCAGUCGAAGAUACCAGCUGGCUGCAACUGUUUAUUAAAAACACAGCACUGUGCAAACACGAAAGUGGACGUAUACGGUGUGACGCCUGCCCGGUGCCGGAAGGUUAAUUGAUGGGGUCAGCGCAAGCGAAGCUCUUGAUCGAAGCCCCGGUAAACGGCGGCCGUAACUAUAACGGUCCUAAGGUAGCGAAAUUCCUUGUCGGGUAAGUUCCGACCUGCACGAAUGGCGUAAUGAUGGCCAGGCUGUCUCCACCCGAGACUCAGUGAAAUUGAACUCGCUGUGAAGAUGCAGUGUACCCGCGGCAAGACGGAAAGACCCCGUGAACCUUUACUAUAGCUUGACACUGAACACUGGUCCUUGAUGUGUAGGAUAGGUGGGAGGCUUUGAAGUGUGGACGCCAGUCUGCAUGGAGCCGUCCUUGAAAUACCACCCUUUAAUGGCUGGUGUUCUAACGUUGGCCCCUUACCGGGGUUGCGGACAGUGUCUGGUGGGUAGUUUGACUGGGGCGGUCUCCUCCUAAAGAGUAACGGAGGAGCACGAAGGUUGGCUAAUCCUGGUCGGACAUCAGGAGGUUAGUGCAAUGGCAUAAGCCAGCUUGACUGCGAGCGUGACGGCGCGAGCAGGUGCGAAAGCAGGUCAUAGUGAUCCGGUGGUUCUGAAUGGAAGGGCCAUCGCUCAACGGAUAAAAGGUACUCCGGGGAUAACAGGCUGAUACCGCCCAAGAGUUCAUAUCGACGGCGGUGUUUGGCACCUCGAUGUCGGCUCAUCACAUCCUGGGGCUGAAGUAGGUCCCAAGGGUAUGGCUGUUCGCCAUUUAAAGUGGUACGCGAGCUGGGUUUAGAACGUCGUGAGACAGUUCGGUCCCUAUCUGCCGUGGGCGCUGGAGAACUGAGGGGGGCUGCUCCUAGUACGAGAGGACCGGAGUGGACGCAUCACUGGUGUUCGGGUUGUCAUGCCAAUGGCACUGCCCGGUAGCUAAAUGCGGAAGAGAUAAGUGCUGAAAGCAUCUAAGCACGAAACUUGCCCCGAGAUGAGUUCU